Molecule: small nuclear RNA, 92 nt
Filed under: Phycomyces blakesleeanus NRRL 1555(-)
Lineage: Eukaryota; Fungi; Mucoromycota; Mucoromycetes; Mucorales; Phycomycetaceae
Source: RNAcentral
AAGUGCCUGCACCUCUGUCACAUUAAAAUUGGAAUGAUACGGAGAAGAUUAGCAUAACCCCUGCACAAAUGUGAGAUAUAUGGUAUUUCUUU